CGGUAAGUAACUACCACAAUCAUGUACAUAUUUCUUCUAUUUGUUUGUUUUUUUUAUUUGUUUUUCAAGAGGAAGAGUUCUCUUAAUAAAAGAUGGGUUGAUCUUUUUUUUCUUUUGUAAUUUUUUGCAUAGCAGAUGAUGUUAUCCGGAGGAAAUACUGGACCUACGCUUAUGGAACCGGAGAGGUUGAGUAAUAAUAUUGGAGGUGGAGGAGAAGAAGAAGGCAUGUCAUCUGAAUCUGCUAUCUCCACCACCUGCAAUAGUGCUCUCAGUCUCUCUCCCUCUCUUGGAGAUGACUCCGACGACGUCACUUUAUCUCUCAAACUGGGGUGAGCUAGCCUACUUUUGCUUUGCUAUAUAUUUCCUAUUUAUAUACAUAUCUAUAUAUAUGUAUAUUAUUUAUGUUGCGUAUGUCUCUUUGCUUUUUAAGUUUUGAUAAGAUGAGAAUUCAGAGAAGAUAUGCUUGCUUUAUUUAGAAAAAUGAAUACCACAGGGUGUCGUGUAACAAAGAUAUUUUCCCUUCCUGGUGCGGAGAGAAGAUAUGUUUGCUUUUAGAUUUAUUUCUCUACUUGUCAACUUGAUUCUGCGUUUCAUUUUCAACUCUAGCAAACCAAAGCGUUGGAUUUUUUGUCGACAAUAUUUUUUUAUGAUAGAAAUGUCAAGUCAUCAUGAAUUCUAGAUACUUGUACAAAGCCAGGUGCACGAUGAGAGUUUUUUUCCCAUCUGCUUCAAUGUGGUGUAAGUGCUCGUUUGGGCCCAACUUUUUCACCUCAUUGGGGCCCAAAGUUUUGGGCUUGCUUCGAUUGAAGAUGUUUUAGGGUUUGUAGAGCAAGUUUCUUUUGAGGUCUGUCUUUGGGGCCAUUUCAUUUUUUGUGCUUAUUUAAAUUGAAAGAAGUUAGUGACUUCCACCGAAAUUUCUCUCCCUCGACUAAAAUACGAGAGAAAAUGUAUUCCACUCUCCCUCGACUAAAAUAGCAUAACCUGCACGAGGCAUGUACAACUUAAAAGUUAAAACAUCUCCACCAACGUAUCUUGAUGCGCAGUUGCAUUCAUGGUAUUUUAAUUAUCCUUCACCAUUUUAAUAAAUUUGCUUAUCGUUUUACUAUGAAUUUCAGGCUUUCCUAAUUUCUCUGGUUAAGAAGUGGAGAACGAUAAGAGUUUACUCUCCUUGUAGCUAAAUAAAGAAAGUCGAGGUAUUAUAAGAUAUCAGUGAUUGUGUGUGUUAACUCGACUUUGUUUUGUAUCUAAACCUAUGUAUUACGUCCAGCCUGACAAAUUGCGCUUUGACUUGUAUUGUAUUUAGAACUUUGUAUCAAAAUAGUCUGCAUGGAGACUCUUGUGGAUUUUGUAUUGCUUCAAUGUCACAGCACAGGAUAACGUUACGAAAGGAUUAUGAGGUCUUGUUUGGUUGGUGGGUCAGUGUCAUAGACAUUAUUUAUUUAGACUAUUACAACUCAUGUCACGAAACUUAAACUAGACAAAAAGAAGGUAACCAAAUCAAUUUUGAAUGAUUACCUGCAUAUUUCCUAAAGAUUACAUAAUAGUAUAUUCGCGAGAUUCGUAUUUUUUUCGUGGAUUAAAUGCGUAGAAGUCGACAGGGGGAAGAUAAAGACAAAGCCAAGUGUCGCAUGGUGACAUGACAGCGCAUGACCUGUGUCAAAGGAGUUAAAAGCCCCUGCAUAAAUAUCUUUUUUUGUGUUCUUUUUCUUUUUUGGUAGCCUGACACGUAAUAAGAAUUAAACCGACAACUUUUUAAAACAAACUAAACUUAGAUGUAAGACGCCACAUUUUCUAUUCCCACGUUACAAAAUCAACGGUGGAGAUUGCAUUCAUCAACGUCGAGAGCAUCUGUGCCCGUCGAUUCGCUCAGGUUUGUUAACUUGUUUGCCCAGAGGAUACCCAAAGUAAAGCACAGGAUAAUAGAAAAAUAUAUUUUUUUCCAUAAAAGGGAAAAUUCAAUUUAAAUCCUUUCCUUUCUUGAACAGCCAGCCAUUUCUCUCUCUCGUUCUCCUAGUUUUUCUGUACGCACAACUUCAGACCCUGAAGGCCCCAAAAGAAGGUAAACGUUAAACGAAGAGGAAAACCCAUAAAUUAAUUAAUUAGGGUUCUUCUCCUCCUCUUCUUCUUCUUCUUUGUGCUCUGGUGCUCUGGUGCUCUGGUGCUCUGGUGCUCUAGUGCUCUAGGCAUGUUGUUGUGAACUAUUGACCUAUUUCGGUUGGUGGGUUUUUCCGGGUUUUGUUCACAUAGAUCUGGGGGCCAUUAAAUGUUUAAAAUUUAUAGAAGAAACCCAGAAAAUAUUUUGUAGUUUUUGAGUGUAUGAACAUAAUAAUAUAUGUGAAAAGUGGUUGGUUUGAAUUUUUUUGAAGGGAGAUGGUGAAAAUGAUGAGGGAGAAGAUCAAGAUCAAGAAGAUUGACUACCUGCCAGCAAGGCAGGUGACCUUCUCAAAGAGGAGAAGAGGGAUCUUCAAGAAAGCUGCAGAGCUAUCUGUUCUGUGUGAAUCUGAGGUGGCAGUUGUCAUCUUUUCUGCUACUGGCAAGCUUUUUGAUUAUUCAAGCUCAAGGUACCAGCAACACCCACCCCUAUACCUUAUAAUUCUUUUGACUUUUCCUUCCUUGAAAAAAUAACCAAUAUGUAUGAUCAUGGUGUCUCUGAAGUCUGAUGACUUGACUUCUCUCUAUGUGGGAGAGGGAGAGGGAGAGAUUCUGAGAUUCAGUCAUUUGGGUAGAAAUAUAUUUAGAGGAGAGGGAGGGUGCCUUUCUGGAAAUUCCCUGUCCUUCCUGAAAUUCCGUGGUUUGAACUGAGCUCACAGACAUUAUUUAUUGUGUCUAAACUUCCGAAAGAAAAAAAGGAGAAUCCAGAAGCUUAGAGAGAGAGAGAGAGAGAGUCAGUCUUGUAGAUGAUACUUUUAGAUAUUACUUUUUUGGGGUCGAUUUUUACUUUUAGAUAUACUCUGUCUCAAAGGCAACUAGUUCGAGGGUUACUACCUUGUAUAUAUACCACUCCAAGAAAAUAGUCUAUUUUUGAUAAAGAAAACUUCUAGUUAGGUGUCCCAGUUUGAGAAACAUUAUUUUUUUAGUUUUCCAUGUUUUUCAUGCAAGAUGUGGUGUAUAUAUGGUGAUGUUCUUUUUUACGUGCAAUCAAUUUUGUUUACCAUAUGCUAAACUCUGUAUAUCUUGUUCGGUAACUGGUUUUCAUAUAUACUCGCAUAGUUUAGUAUGUUGCUGCUUCAAUAUCAUGUCCCACCUAACACAUAUUGGUAAUAGAUAAUAUAUGAAAUCUUAGGUCGCGCUUAUACAGUGAAGAAUAUCCCUGUCCAAGGAGCUAAAAUUAAUGGUUCCCUUAUGAGAGAUACGGUAUGUUAGAUCAUCAGUCGAAUCAUACACUCAAACAACAAUACAGAUCACCAAUUUUAGAUUCAUAGUCUGACCACAUAAAAUGAUAAAUUUGCUAAUAAAAUAGCAUUUUACUCUUUACCAUAUAUAUACAUCUAUUUGUAUAUAUAUUAUCCUUUGAACUUAAGAUAGUGGCGGGUUGUGUUUGAAAAGGUGUCAAUUCAUUUUCCCCACCUAAACUACAAAAUGCCAGUUUGGCCAAGGGGAAAGUAGCACCCAACUCCUUAUAAGCUUUCGUUAGGUUUCUCAACUUCCAAAAAUUAUUGUGGGACAUUUCUUCACAUUCUCACACGCCCCCUCACGUGUGGCGACAUUUCAAGCCUAACACGUGGACAUCACAUUAGGUGACGUAGAGCAAGUGUGGACAUUGGGCUUCACACGUGAACAAACCCGCUAUGAUACCAUAAAGGAAGUUGAGGUUUCACCCCAAAAUCAAUUGGCCAAUAGGAGGAGUAACCCAACUCCUUAUAAGGCCGUGCUAAGUUUCUCUAACUUUCCAAUGUGGGACAUUUCUUCACAUUCUCACAGUUACAUUGAAUUAUGUGAUUUGUAGUUUUCUUACUAGGAAUAAAGUGAUAUGAUGAUAACUUGGGAAUUCAUCAUAGAAGCCUUGAAGACUUUCAGCAGGAAUAUGCAUGCAUGCUUUCCAAUAAGGCAAUGGGUGGUGGAGCCAUGACCAUUACAUGUUUUUGCCAUGAUUGCAUGAAAGAUUUUGUUAAAACCUAGUUUCAUACUUAGAUGUGCAUGCAUGAGAGGGAGGGUGAGAAUGAAAUGUUAACUAUGGAAUACGAAUUUAAAUAAGGUCAUGUGCUUCCUUUCAGUUAACAAAAAUAAUUGCACAUUGUAAGCGCUGGUCAUUUAUAUUUAAUUAAAAAAAACCUAGAAAUACUACCUCUAAGGUGGUCUUCUUUAACCCAAAAUACACUCCAUAUAUAAAAAGAAUACUCUUAUAUGGCGAUGGUUUUUUUUAUAAAAAUAUUCUGUAUUGUGUGCACGAAUUAACAAUUUUUUUUUUUAAUUUAAAAAAAGUUAUCAUCUAAAAGCUACAUCUAUUUGCGUUGGUUAUUAUCGAACAACAUUAAAAGACAGAGAAAUCAAAACUGUAAGUAACAAACACGUACUAAUGGAGGUCUUUAAUUCUUUAUGUCAGAGUGCAAUUUCUAAUCAAUUUCCGUUGUAAAUUUAAUUUAAAUGUUAAUUUUCUAGGUUUCUGGGCCUAAUUUGUCUACUUUUUUUAUUUUUUCUAUUUUUAAAAGUUUUUCUAAUUGUAUUUCUAUUAAAGCUCUCGAUAUUGCAUUCCAUGUUUCCAUUUGUGCAUGUGUACUUGCAACCAAUGCAUAAGCCAUAAAACGAUCUUGCAUUGAAACUAAAGAAGAUUUUGCUUUGCAUUAUUUUUCAAACUUUUCCAAGUUUCCAAGUAGAGCAAUGUGUCAAACGUUUCCAAGUAAAGGUUCCAUGAGACUCAUCCAUUCUUAAUGCACGGGGCAGAGGUUGAAGUCUAAAACCUAUACAUGACCUAGCCCGAAGCGGAUAGCUUUUCUUAAGGUUUUUAAGGGUUUAGUAAUGAUUCAUCUUUGCAUGGUAGCCUACCAAACCUAACAAUAUAUUCAAAGCAUAUUAGUCGACUUGAUGGUCUCAGAGUUGACGUCAGAGGAACUGUGACUAAGAUUUUUGAGGCCCACUUCUUAUCAGUUGACUUGAUACGUGGGUUUGCUUUGCUUUGUGUUCGAAAAUAUCUCAGCUGCUAUUGAAGGAAUUUGACUUGACGUUUUCAUUUGCGAUAUGUGAUUUGUGUGUUUUAAAGCCAAGCUGAUAUUUUUUUUAUUUUUUAUUUUUUUGGUUUGGGGGGAGGGGGUUCUUAGCUUAUUGCAUGCAUGUGUAGUUUGGUUACUGUUGAUAUUACUUUUUGUAAUAAAUUCUAAUGAAAUAGGUAAUAUAUUCUUUGUACUUGGUUUCUCUUGAGAUGAUUAGUCCCUUUCUUGGGUCUGCAAUAUAUAAUUGGAGGAAAUCAAAUUUUGGGUCUGCAGAAAAUUGGAAAUCAAAGUUUGCAUUAUAAUUGAAACUGAAAUUUCUCUGAUAUCUGGUUAUGUUAGUUAUAGAAACCAAAGUCAGAAAAUAAUUCAAUCAAAAGCCAUGCACACAUAUCAUACAAUGAUAUCAUUUAUUAGUCUUAUACAAAAAAAAUAAAAAUAAAUAAACAUGAGUGUAUCUCUGUGUUUGCAAACCAGAAGUUUGAAUAAUGGGGGUUAAAUUCUUUUCCAUGUUUUUGUUUCUCAUGUAUGCUUAGUCACGUUAAUUUUUCUGUCUAAUAAUUUACUAGUGAACAUGCCAAUUGAUUGUUUUUUUUAAUCCUUUUCUGUUGUGAAGUAUCAAGGAUGUUAUUGAAAGGUACGAAGUGCGCACAAAUGGUGUCGAAAAAUCGGAUGAACAGUCUCUUGAGCUGCAGGUAAAUGAGUUCAAUGAUUUUCCCUUUCCCCCUUUUAAUUGUUCUGCAAUUAAUUGUAACAUACUCUGUGAUCUGCACUUUGGAGCUUCAAAAUGUAUCUCUAUAGCAUCCGACGGUUCUGAUUGUUUGAACAUAGAUAAAAAAAGCAUUGUCAGACUCAUGUAUAUGCAUGCAGCAGGGUCGGCCUCUUGGGCUAAAUAUAUAUAGGUGGCUUUGAUAAGUCCCAACUCUAGUGGGACUUCAUCUGGUGUACAUAAAGAAUUAGCCAAUGAAAAAUUGGAACAUAGAAUCAUCAUCAAAUAUCAAUUAUUAUUUACUUUUACCGUUGGUUGUUUUCCAAGCGUUCCUUUUUUUCAUUUUUAAUUAUGCUAAAGGUAGAGUGUGAAGUAUUGUAACCAUUUGAGUUACAAAUUCAUUGUUUUUCAAACUUUAGUUUUAGGGGCAUGCAGCUGAUUUAAUUUCUUAUGAUAGUUGAGUUGGAGACUUCUAUUGAAUCGAUAUUACAGCCUCCUAGAGUAUCAGUUUUUUCUCCCUAAUUUUAAUAACUUAUUGGUUUAGAAAAAAGAAAAGGAACGAUUUUACUUUUUUGUUUUGAAAUGAGUGAUUUUCUGUCCAAAAUGUAGUACGAUUUUACUAUUAUGUUUUGACAAUAUUGAUUAGGGGUGGGAGGCCAUAGGCUUAAGUACAUCAGUUAAAGGUAACCAAUAACCGUAGCUCUCACGCAGCUGAAAACAGAGACCAACCGCACUCGCAUCUAGGCUCUCACACCGCAAUCACAUUAAGGGGAGGAGCUCCACCCCCCUUCUAACGUCCUCGUUGGCCCACUCUAUCUACACUGACUCGGUGGUAGCCUUUUACUUUCUUUGAGGCGGCUUCACUCAACUAUCAGUAUUCAGUGAUCAAUAUCAUGCCCAUACAUAACACCGAUCAUCUUAAUCCAAUGUAUAGGUCACCCCUUUUGUGGAAUUGGGCCCAGUUGCGUGGUGAACUCAGGCUUUGAUACCAAAUGUUAAGAACUCAUGGGUAGAAUUUGCCCUUAAAAACCGGCUUGUAAGGAAAGGAUGCCCUUGAACUCUUAAACCAUUCUAUAGGAUAUGCUCUUUUUCCAAUGUGGGAUCUUGAGUCCUAACAGACGGCUAAUCUUUGCCCCCCUCUAUUUUAAGCCCCUAUGUCUCUCAUCUCCUCUAAUUUCCCUUCUCCUCCUCUCAUCCCCUCACCCACACACCAGUUCCUUUCUCUCCCCCUUCCAUGAGAUUUGAAACCCUAAAAUCCUCCUCUCCCCUUACGAUUUUCUUAGUCUAUUGGCUUGUUGCAGCUGCUUCUCCCUCCAACCCACCCUCAUAUCUGGCUUUUGCUAUGGACGUGUGGUGGACUAUGUCAUUUAAUGGUCAAUUUUGACCCCCCCUGGAUCACUUGAGUAUGAUGAAUGUUGGUGGCUUGCUCCUCCAAAUCCAUGCUAUACAAAUCCUUGUUGGUUUCUUUGGACAUUCUCCUUCUAACAGCGGCGGCGGCGGCGUCGAUUCUGUUUUUCUGUUUUGGGCCUAGAAUUGGGCUUUUAUUUUCUUUUAUUGGUUGAGCCCUUGUUUCUCUCUUUUUGACUUUGUAUUGGGUUUUAUGCCAUAGUAGUUAUGAUAUUUAGAACAUACAAUCCCGAUCUCUUGGACUACAGGGGUGCAAGAGUUAUGCCAUUAAUUUCUGUCAUAAUAAUUAUGAUAUUUAGAACAUGCCUCUGUUCCAAAACUGUAAACCAUAAAUAUUUAGAACAUCAACGCAUUCCACAAAUCAUGUCUCCACCUACAAAUCACACUAAACUUCACCCAAAACCGUAAAUAUGCCUCUAUUCCAGGUAUAGCCACCUCAAAACUUGUAAUCGAGGUUCCUAGAAACUUCAUACCUCUAGUCCAGGUAAUUAAACCCAUAAGCCACCUCUAGUCCAGAUAAUGAAAUCCAUAAGUUACCUCUAGUAUAGGUAAAAAUGAAACCUCCACAACAUAUAUAGUCACACCAAAGUAUAUUGAGAUGAAACUCCAUUAACAAAUGCUUUGAAAAACCUAAGAAAAAAUGCUGAAUUUAUCAAGGGUAAAAUUGCCAUAUUUGUUUCAAACUAGCAUGAUUGUAGGAGAUGCCUAAAUUUUAGGGAGGUGCUUUCAUAGACUUCCAUUUCUGGAAGUGGCAUACACUGUUAAUUCAUUAAAAAUUGUGGACAUACAUGGUGGUUGGACUACAAUUGAAAAAGUAGAGCAUGUGGACUGCCCCAUAAUUUUUCCCACUUGAAUUCAUCCCAAUCGUGUCCUACAUCACAUAUUGUGCGUCUCUAUCAACGCUUACAUACUUGCAGAGAUCCAAACCUUGAAAGUUGUCUAAUCUCUCUAGGAACCCCAAACCUCUAGACGGUGACAAACUCUCACUUUGAUUUCAUUUGAGGCUUAGCCCCUACAUAGCCUUUUUUAAGUAGGCUCACAGAGAACCCUAAUUUUGUUAGCUACCUAAAUCCUGAAGAAACUAGGAAAUCAAAAAUACCCAGAACGACCUCAAAACCCCAUGAAGAGAACAGAAAACAAGCAGCACAGUACAGUCCCCAUAAAAAUCACCUUGCCUGAAUGUAUACAAUAUUCCCACACGAAAAAAAACUGUAAACACGGGUUGAAGAACUCCAAAUUUAGAGCUGCUGCACAAGACUAACAUGAAUACUUAGGUCAAAAUUUCAUUAAAUUCUUUAUCUCUAUAGAAGUAGAGUGGCAUUGCCAUAAAGUCCACCAAGGAUAAAAAAAAUAAGUAUCUUAAGCUCUAAUAUUUGACCUAGCAAUAUCAUGGCCUAUGGAGGACUUUGAUUAUGCGAUUUUAACGUGCCAUCUUCCAAUAAAGUAAGAGUUGGGAUACCCUAUGUGUUAAUAUUGUGCUUUAGAUUUAAUCUGUUACCUCAAUUUAAUCAGUACAAGUUCUUAUUCUAUUUGCCUCAAUCGAAAAUUCGAAUUUCUGCGAGUUGGGUUUGUUGCUGUUAAUUAAUUCCCUAAGUUUUUCAAAGGUAUUAAUGACUACGACAAAUUGUAAAUCCAUGUUCUUGUAUGUUCAAGUAAUUCCAUUUCAAAAAAAAUAUUGUAAUCCUUUUUUUUUUUUUUUUUUUUUCCCAUUAUGUUGUUUUUUUGUUUCUUUACGGGGCUGACGUUUAAAAGCUUUUCAUGUAACAGAGACAGAUUAAAUUCUCUAAAUGAUGGUUCCAAUAUUUCUCAUUUUAGCUGGAGAAUGAAAACCACACCAAACUCAGUACGGAACUUGAGGAGAAGAACCGCCAGCUGAGGUACAAAUUUAUUAAAUCAUCAUGAACUUGUAAGAUAUAUGUGGCUGUUUAGCUGGUAUUGUUGUUUGAUGUUUCUGCUGGAAUUGGACUGGCUUGCAACAGGCAGAUGAAAGGUGAGGAUCUUGAAGAGCUGGAUCUGGAUGAGUUGCUGAAGUUGGAACAACUGGUGGAAGCAACCCUUGUCCGUGUGAUGGAAACUAAGGUCUGCCCCUUGUGUAUGCAGAGUAUAUUUUAAUUGCUCUGUGUUGUGAAAAGCAAAUAAACUAACAUCUAAAUGCAAAUUUCAGGAAGAACUGAUUAUGAGUGAUAUUGUGGCACUUGAGAAAAAGGUUAGAUGAUUGAUACGUACUCUGUAAAUGAAAACAAAUUUCAGCAUAAAUAAUCAGCAUAAAUAAUCAUAACAAAGUUUGGCUCUGGUUUUCUCUUGCAUGCACCAACUAUAAUUUCAGGGAACUGAGCUGGUAGAAGCCAACAAUCAGAUGGUGAUGUUAAGGGAGAGGGUAAGCAACAUAUAUAUUGUUCUUAAUAAAAGAUGGGUUGAUCCUUUUUUCUUUUUUUAAAAUAAAUAUUUUGUAUUUUUUGCAUAGCAGAUGGUGAUGUUAUCCAAAAGAAAUACUGGACCUGCGCUUAUGGAGCCAUCUGAAUCUGCUACCUCCACCAGCUGCAACAGUGCUCUCAGUCUCUCUCUUGAAGAUGACUGUUCCGACGACGUCGUUUUAUCUCUCAAACUGGGGUGAGCUAGCUUUCUUUUGCUUUGCUAUUUGUGUAUAUAUAUAUCUUUGCUUUUUAAGUUUGAUGAGAUCAGAGAAUAGAAGUUUUAGAAUUUUGAAUACUCGGUCGGUUGUCGUGCAAUACAGAACAACUAGGAUAUUUUCUGUACUUGUCAACUUGAUUCUGGGUUUCAAUUUUAACUUUACCAAACCAAAAAUAUUGGAUGUUUUCUGUACUUGACAAUAUUUUUUUAUUAUAGAAAUGUUAUUUGAAAGUCAUCAUGAGUUUCAGAUAUUUACAGUAAUAUGUUUUUGGAAAAAAGAUAUAUCAUUUGGGGCUAACCAAAGUGUUUUCACCUCUUUACCACUUACCCUCCCAAGCAUUUUAAUUAUUCAUGGUAUUUUAUUUAUUCUUCACCAUUUUUAAUAAAUUUUCUUUUCACUUUACUAUGAAUUUCAGGCGUCCCUAAUUUCCUUGGUUAAGAAGUGGAGAAAGAUGAAAGUUUACUCUCCUUAUAGCUAAAUAAAGAAAGUUGUGGUAUUGUGAGAUAUCGAUGAUUGUGUGUUUUAAUUUGAUAGCAGAUUGAAAAUAUUGAAGGGAGAGUAACUUUGUGUUGUAUCAAAACAUGUGUAUUACAUGCAACCUGUGACAUAUUGCUCUUUGACUUUGUAUUGUAUUUAGAACUCUGUAUCAAUGCAGCCUGCGUGGAGAGACUUGUUAAUUUUGUAUUGUUUGGGUUAUCAAUGUCACACAGGCUAACGGUACGCGCGGGUCGUAGACCGAUGUGCUUAAAGACUUAGAUGUCUUUCUUCAUUGUUUUCACGUUACAAAGCUCAUUUCAAGAUAUCGUGAAGUUUAGUCCCACGAAUGACAUUAUAGGUAAAAUUGUUUAUUUAUACUAUUACAACUCAUGUACACCAAAACUUAAACCAGACAAAAACAAGUGAAAUAAAUUUUUAAUGUAGGAACCAGAAUGUUUAAGAAGAAACUCAUAUAAUUGUCUGCGUGGAUUAAAUCAACACAAGUGGCCUGGGGAAAGUAACCUGAGCAAGAUAAAGACGAAGCCAUGUGUCAUGGUGGGCUCAAUCAAGUGGCUUGACAGCGCAUGACCUGUGUCAAAGUGCCAUCCUCCACACCCAAAAAAAAAAAAAAAAUUUCUUCUUUCCUUUGUAGCCUGACACGUAAUAAGAAUUUUACCGACAGAAAAAACAAAACUUAGAUAUUUCUGACAAACUCCUUCACAAAAAGUCAGAUGCCACAUUUUCUCAAGUCACAUAUCAACGGUGGAGAUUGCAUUCAUCAACGUCAACAGCAUCUGUGCCCGUCGAUUUGCUCAGGUUUCUUAACCUUGUUUCCCCAGAAGAUAAUAGAAGAAUAUAUUUUUCCAUAUAAAGGAAAAUUCAUAAAUCAUUUCAUUUCCUUUCUUGACCAACAACAAGACAGCAGCAGCAGCAGCCAUUUCUCUCUCUCAUUUCGAACGCAGACCCCGAAACCCACCAACGAAGGUAAACAUUAAACAAAGAGGAAAACCCAGAAUUUAAUUCAUUAGGGUUCUUCUCCUCCUCUUCUUCUUCUUCUUUGUGUUUUGGGUGGUGGGUUUUUCUGGGUUUUGUUCAUUUAGAUCUGGGAACCAUUAAAAGUUUAAAAUUGAGAAGAAACCCAGAAAAUAUUGUAUAGUUUUUGAGUGUAUGUGAAAAGUGGUUGGUUUGAAUUUUUUUGAAGAUGAUGAGGAAUAAGAUCAAGAUCAAGAAGAUUGACUACUUGCCUGCAAGGCAGGUGACCUUCUCAAAAAGGAGAAGAGGGCUCUUCAAGAAAGCUGCAGAGCUAUCUGUUCUGUGUGAAUCUGAGGUGGCAGUUGUCAUCUUUUCUGCUACUGGCAAGCUUUUUGAUUAUUCAAGCUCAAGGUACCAGCAACAUACCUUAUAAUUAUUUUGACUUUUCCUUCCUUGAAAAAAUAACAAUAUGUAUGAUCAUGAUGUCUCUGAAGUCUGAUGACUUCACUUCUCUCUGUGUGGGUGAGAGAGAGAGAGAGGGGGAGGGAGAUUCUGAGAUCCAGUCAUUUGGUUAGAAAUAUAUUUAGAGGAGAGGGAGAGUGCCUUUAUGGAAAUUUCCUGUCCUUCCAGAAAUUCCAUGGUUUGAACUGUGCAAACAGACAUUAUUUAUUGUAUCUAAGCUUCCAACAGAAAAAAUGGAGAAUCCAGAAGCUUCCAGAGAGACUUUUAGAUAGGUUUUUUUUCUGUUGUCGUCGAAAUAUACUUUUAGAUAGUCAUACUCUGUUUCAAAAAAACCUAGUUCGAGGGUCACUACCUUGUAUAUCUAUCCACUUAAGGAAAAUAAAGUCUGCUUUUGACUAAGACAACUUCUGGAAAGAUGUGGUGUGUAUGAUGGUGAUGUUCUUUUCUUGUACUACAUGCAUGCAUAUGUAAAACUGUGUACGUAUAUAUCUUGUUUAGCAAAUUCUGUAAUCUUAAACCCUUAUACACAAGUAUAUCUCGCUGCUUCAAUCUCAUCCUUUCCCACCUAUCACAUGUUGGUAAUAGAUAUUAUAUAAUAUCUUAGGUGGGGCCUAUACAAUGAAGAAUAUCAUUGUCCAAGUCCAAAUUAAAAUUAAUGUUCCCUUGUGAGAGACACGAUAUGUUAGACCAUCAAUCGAAUCAUACACUCAAAUAAUAUAACAGACUUUUUUUAAAUUCAUAGUUUAACCACAUAAAAUGAUAGUGACUAUAGCUAGUGAGUGAGUAUUCGACCCUUUACAAUAUGUAUAUACAUCUAUAUGUAUAUAUGUUAUCCUUCGAACAUUCUUCCCACUUAAAUUAAUGUUCUCUUGUGAGAGACACGAUAUAUUAGACCAUCAAUCGAAUCAUACACUCAAACAAGAAAGCAGAUUAACAAUUCUAGAUUCGUAGUCUGAUCACAGGAAAUGUUAGAUAAUCUAGCUAGUAAGAGAGUAUUUAACUCUUUACCAUAUAUAUACAUAUCUAUAUGUAUCUUAUCCAUCGAAGUUAAGAUAUUUGUGGGUUGUGUUUGAAAAGGACCUAAAAGACAAAAUGCCCGUACAUUAAUGUGGUUGCAAACAUUGAAUUAUAUGUUUGUAAUUUUCUUACUAGGAAUAAAGUGGUAUGAUGAUAACUUGAGAAUUCAUCAUAGAAGCCUUGAAGACUUUCAGCAGGAAUAUGCAUGCAUGCUUUCAACUAGGGCAAUGGGUGGUGGAGCUAUGACCAUAACAUGUUUUUGCCAUGGAAUAAGAAUUAGAUGUGCAUGCAUGAGAGGAAGGAAAGAGAGGGAGGGUGAGAAUGAAAUGUUAACUAUGGAAUAAGAAUUUAAAUAAGGUCACGCAUCCUUUCAUUUAUAUUUUUUAAAAAACACACAAACUAGAAAUACCACCUCCAAAGUGGUCUUCUUUAACCCAAAAAUAUACUCUUAAGGUGGUCUUAUAUGGCGAUACUAUUUGCAAGAGAGUGAAUGUCGUUAAACAUUUUUUUUUUUUUUUUUUUUAAAAAAAAAGCUUUGAUACAAAUGGAGGUGUCAGUUAAAAAUAACAAAUUGGAGACGACAUUUAAUUGUUUAUGUCUGUAUGCAAUUUCUAAUCAGUUUCCUUUAAAAGUUAUUUUUCUAGGUUUCCUAAUUGACAUGUUAUAUGCAAAGUUAUUUUAUAUAUUUUUUUAAAGGUUUUCUAAUUGUAUUUAUAUUCAAGUACCAGAGUACUUGCAACCAAAACAAAAACCGUGAAAUGAAUAUUUUACUAUUACAUUAUUUUUCAAACUUCUCGAAGUUUCCUAGUAGAGCAAUAUUGGUCCGAAUUCUCCAAGUUUGGAAAAGUAUUGCUCUUGGAUAUUAUACUAUAUUUUCAAAGAUUUAUUUAGUAUUGUGUCGAAAUAUUUAUAUAGGAACUCCAAAGUCAUGUGUGUUCAUGAGACUUGCCCAAUAUUAUUAUUAAGUUUUGAGAUGUUUCAUUCAUAUUUGUAUUUUGAAACUCUUAAGGGCUUGUUUAGCGAGGCCAUGUUAUAACAUGUUGGAGUCCUUAGCCACUUACACCAAGUUUUCUUCCCAUUUUAGUCGGUUCACCACUUCAUAGUACAUCUUCUUCCCAUGUCUUAGGUCCACCACUCCCUAUGUUGUCACUUGGUUGUUUAAUGUUUUACAUGAUUCCAAGUUUUCUACUAGAUUUUCAUGUCCUAUUAGCCUAGCUUUGGGGAGUCUAGAUCCCCUUGUUCCAGUGGGAUAAUACUAUUCACUACAAGGGUGACUUUUUAAGAAAGUAACAAUCCUUUAGACCGAUAAGGAUGAUAAAUCAAGCUCAUAAUGUUGGUGCUAUGACUACCUAUGCAAGUACCAAAAAUGGGUCAAUUAAGGAGGUAGAAGUCGUAUGAUGAUUUUAGUCUUUCUAGAUGAUGCGAACAAAAUUCAAGAGCCGUGCGUCCUGUAAAAAGCUAGAUGAAGAUGGCUAAAACACUUGUUCGAGACACUACUUUGGACCUUUAAUAUUUUCUUCAAUUCUGUAAUUUGGUUGAAAAUACUUACAUUGUGGGCGUCUACUUGCAUUAAUGACGCAUCGUGACAAUCGGAUGACUAAAGAUUUAGCUUAAAACACACAACUUUGGAAUCCACCAUGAAGUAGUGAGGAAACCUUAAGUUUAUUGAUAAUCUGAAAUAACAUAACCUAACCCUAGCCACAGGUUAAAAAUUCUUUAAAUACCCUAGAAGCCCUACUAAUAAACAAGGAAUUAAAAUAGGAAAAAUUACAAAGUUUUCAAAAACUUAUAAGACAUAAAAACUGGAUUUUGGGUUGUUAACGAUCUCGGAUGCCUGAAAAAGCUGUUCUCUUCGAAUCAAUGGGUCAUGGGCCCAAACUUGCAGCUUUCUAAGUGUGCCCUUUAGCGCGCCUCUUCAACUCUUCUUCAAUUGCCUUCGACAUCUUUUCUACAUGAAUUAAGUAUGUUCAAAGAAGAGAGUUCUUGUCUAAGAUGUCUUAACCACGUUUUAGUAUUUCGAUCUCUAAGGGCGUAUUGAGGAAUGGAGAUGAUGAUGUCGGGACAUUGUAGAAAGCUGGUGUCGGGAUGAUGGUUGUGGAUUUAUUCACCUAGUAGUGACUUUUGAAAUGUUUUGCGCAAAAUGAGUGGCUUUCUUUACCCGUUUUCUAUUCUGCCUGAUGGCUUGUGAAAAUUUUGGUACAAACACUAACUUAACUAGUAUGUGGUUUAGUAAUCAAGCAAGCAAGAUCUUAGGCAGUAGAAGUUGCCUAAGAUUGGCGAGUUUUGGUUUUCGGAUGAUUGCCAAACCACGACAAGUUGGUUUGUUUAAUGGUUCUUUCUAGCUUGGUAUGAGGUCACUCUGGGGAGCUUGAGUUUUGGUUUAAGAUUUAACAAUCAAUCUAUUAGAAGAUACAUAAGUGUAACAAUCAAUCUAUUAAUAUUCAUAGGCGCGAAAGAUUUUUCCAAUGUAUUGUUUAUCAAUCUUUUCCACCAACAUCGAAUGACCCCAUACAAGGAAAAAUGAAUUCGAAUUCAAGUAAAUCUUUUUUUUUUUUUGUCAAAUGGUGAUAUUUCAUUUCGAAACCUCGUCAAAAAUGGGGAGGGCACAAAAACUACAAAACAAAGCAACCUAGAAAGGAAGCUCACUAAUACAAUGCGUCUGAUCUCUAUUAGAGAUACGAUAUAUAAGUUGGUCUCUAAAGAUAGUCACCCUAGCAUUUUCCAUAUAUAAAUGCCUUGUGUUGUAAACUAUCUCAGUUGCUUGUUGGGUUGGUCUUUUAUAUAUAUAUAGGGACAUUCUCCAAUAAAUAUUCAUUAAAUAUGUUGGUAGUCUCUUAGGGACCGUAUAUAUAUAUAUAUAUAUAUAUAGGUUUUCUAUAAAAUAUCUAUGAAGGAAUUUGAUUUGACGUUUUGAUUUGCAUAACCAAACCAUGCGAUAAAGCCAGCAGCAAAUAGCUUCACGUUCUCAUUAUGCAUAUAAAACAAGUAUUUAUUUCAUUUCAAAAUCUCCAAAAUCAUAGUUGUGAUGUGGUCUUGAAUGAAACCCUUUUCUGAUGCUAUCAAGGAACAGUACUAAUGGUACAAAAAUAUCCAAAUCUGUAACAUAUAUAUUUUUUAAUUUGUGGGGGAAGGGAGGGCUAAAUUAGUUAAUUUGCUUUUCACUGUUGAAUUUACUUUUUUAAUAAAUCAUAGUUAGAUUAUUGCAUGCAUGUCCAAAGUGGUUGGUUAGAUUAUUGCAUGCUAUUUUUUGUAAAAACAUCUAAUGGAAUUAUUCUUUGUACUUGUUUUCUCUUGAGAUGAUUGGGUUAUUCUAUGGUGUAGCCCUUUUUUGGAUCUCCAAUAUAUAACUGGAAAAAUUCUGGGUCUGCAGAAAAUUGGAAAUCCAAUCCUGGGUUUGCUUGUAUUUUGCUUUAUAAUUGAAAAUGAAAUUAUGGGUUUGCAUUAUAAUUGGAAACCAAAUUCCAACACAAAAAGUUCUGAAUUUUUUGCAGUGGGGGGUAAGUUGUAGAUCACUCUGAUUGCUGGUUAUGUUAGUUAGAGACACUUAAGUAUGAAAAUAAUUCAAUUUUUUGGCAAGAUGCCAUCAUGCUUUAUGGCUUAGCGUUGAAGUUAUGCCAGUGAUAAAUUGCAGAUUAUCAAAACCCUGAAUUAGACAUUAGUGUGUGUGUCUUGGUGUUUGCAAACCAGAAGUUUGAAUAAUGGGGUUAAAUUCUUUUCCAUUUUUUUGUUUCUCAUGUAUGUUUUGUCACAUGUUAGUUCUUCAAUGUCUUAACAAUUUACUAGUGAACAUGCCGAUUGAUUUUUAUUUUUUUUCGUUUUUUGUUAUGAAGUACCAAGGAUGUUAUUGAAAGGUACAACGCAGACAUAAAUGGUGUCGAAAAAUUGAACAAUCAAGAGAUUGAGCUGCAGGUAAAUGAGUUCAAUGGUUACCUUUUCCGUUUCCCCCUUUUAAAUUGUUCUGCAAUUAAUGGUAACAUACUAUGUAAUCUGCACUUUGGAGCUUCAAAAUAUCUCUCUAUGUAGCAUCUGAAGGUUCUGAUUGUUUGAACAUAAAUAAAAACAUUAUUUCCUGUUACAUGCCAGACUUAUGUACAUAUGCAUGCAGCAGGGGUCGGCCUCUUGGGCUAAAUAUAUGUAGUUAGGUGGCUUUGAUAAGUCCAUUUCUAGUGGGACUUAUGAAUUUGGUCUACAGAUGGAAGGAAAUAGUAGUCUUGGGCCAAGUCCUGGUGUUGUUUUGAGAAUUAGCCAAUGAAAUAGAUUCAUCAGCAACUAUCAAUCAAUCAUAUUUUUUUUCAGCAAAAAAUACCCUGAACGAUCGCAAAACCCACAAAAAUAAAUAAUAAUAAUAAUAAUUUCCCUUGUUGCCCCAGCACCAGAAGACUCUAAACACAAAAAUUUGGAGCAGCUUAGCACAAGAAUAACAUGAAUACUUGGGUCAAAAUUUCAUUAAACUCCUUAUCUCUAUAGAAUUUGAGUAAUCAGGAAAGAAACUCUGUUUUGGUGCUAGAGUAGUGGUUGGUUGGGGAGUAAAAAUGUUGAAGUUUUUGCCCUAACAAUAUGGAUGAGUGGUAUCCUGCCAUCUUCCAAUAAAGUAAGAUUCCCCUACGUGUUAAUAUUGUGCUUUAGAUUUAAUCUGUCAUCUCAAUUUAAUCUGUCAUCUGUUCUUUUUCCAUUUGCCUUUAUCUAAGUUGGGUUUGUUGCUAUUAAUGAAAUCCCUAAGUUUUUCUAAGGUAUUAAUGACUAGGACAAAUUGUAAAUCCAUGUUCUUGUAUGUCCAAGUAAUCAUUUGAUUCCAUUUUCAAAAAUAUAUUGUAAUCCUUUUUGUUUUUUUUUCCCCUUAUAUUUUUCGAUGCUGACGUUUAUAAGCUUUUCAUUUGACAGAGACAGAUUAAAUUAUGUAAUGGUUCCCAUAUUUAUCAUUUUAGCUGGAGAAUGAAAACCACAUCAAACUGAGUAAGGAACUCGAGGAGAAGAGCCGCCAGCUGAGGUACAAAAUUCAUGAUCUUGUAAGAUAUAUGUGGCUGUUUAGCUGGUAUUGUUGUUUGAUGUAUCUGCUGAAAUUGGACGGGCUUGCAACAGGCAGAUGAAAGGUGAGGAUCUUGAAGGGCUGAAUCUGGAUGAGUUGUUGAAGUUGGAACAACUGGUGGAAGCAAGCCUUGGCCGUGUCAUGGAAACUAAGGUCUGCCCUAGCUAUUUUAUUUUCUAGUAACCAGUGCCCUAGCUUCUUCUUUUUCUUUUUCUUUUUUUUUCUUUUCUGGAUGAUUCUUGACUGAAGACAUAAGCAAUGAACCGUUAGAAUAAUAUAAAGUAGGUCUUUGUUUGAAGAAGUAUCGUCUCAGUAAAUAGGGUAUAUUUUUAUUGCUGUAUUUUGUGAAAAGCAUAGGUGUAUUCUGAGUUGUCACUAAGCUUUAUUUUCUGAAAACUAACAUCUAAAUGCUGUUCCUUUCUUUUCCAGGAAGAGCUGAUUAAGAGUGAGAUUAUGGCACUUGAAAGAAAGGUUAGAUGAUUGAUACGUACAGAUCUGUAAAUGGAAACAAACGUAAAAUAAUCACGACUUAAAAACAUAUAUAAAUUAACAUCAAUAAUCAUAACCAAGUUUGGCUUUGGUUCUCUCUUUCAUUCACUGACUAUAAUUUCAGGGAACUGAGCUAGUUGAAGCUAACAACCAGCUAAGGCAGACGGUAAGCAACUACCACAAUCAUGUACAUACUUCUUCUUACUUUUUCUUCUCCUCUUUUUGUUUUUUGAGAGGAAGAGUGCUCUUAAUAAAAGAUUAUGGGUUGAUCUUUUUUUCUCUUGUAAUUUUUUGCAUAGCAGAUGGUGAUGUUAUCCGGAGGAAAUACUGGACCUGCGCUUAUGGAUCCGGAGAGGUUGAAUAAUAAUAUUGAAGGUGGAGGAGAAGAAGAAGGCAUGUCAGCUGAAUCUGCUAUCUCCACCACCUGCAACAGUGCUGUCAGUCUCUCUCUUGAAGAUGACUCCUCCGAUGAGGUCACUUUG
This 18817-nucleotide long non-coding RNA is filed under the name Prunus persica (peach). Its description in RNAcentral is "long non-coding RNA (PPER_LNC001590)". Lineage: Eukaryota; Viridiplantae; Streptophyta; Magnoliopsida; Rosales; Rosaceae. The record is from RNAcentral.